GCAGUAGCCACGGUAAUACGGAGGGUGCAAGCGUUAUCCGGAUUUAUUGGGUUUAAAGGGUCCGUAGGCGGAUCUGUAAGUCAGUGGUGAAAUCUCACAGCUUAACUGUGAAACUGCCAUUGAUACUGCAGGUCUUGAGUAAAUUUGAAGUGGCUGGAAUAAGUAGUGUAGCGGUGAAAUGCAUAGAUAUUACUUAGAACACCAAUUGCGAAGGCAGGUCACUAAGAUUUAACUGACGCUGAUGGACGAAAGCGUGGGGAGCGAACAGGAUUAGAGACCCGAGUAGUCCCUGUCUCUUAUAC
This 302-nucleotide ribosomal RNA is filed under the name uncultured bacterium. RNAcentral describes it as "partial 16S ribosomal RNA". It matches the Rfam family "Bacterial small subunit ribosomal RNA", at positions 508 to 807 of the family's 1533-position model. The record is from RNAcentral.